Molecule: ribosomal RNA, 253 nt
Filed under: uncultured bacterium
Lineage: Bacteria
Description: partial 16S ribosomal RNA
Rfam family: Bacterial small subunit ribosomal RNA
Source: RNAcentral
UACAGAGGUGGCAAGCGUUGUUCGGAAUUACUGGGCGUAAAGGGCGCGUAGGCGGCCUUCUAAGUCAGACGUGAAAUCCCCCGGCUUAACCUGGGAACUGCGUCUGAUACUGGGAGGCUUGAGGUUGGGAGAGGGAUGCGGAAUUCCAGGUGUAGCGGUGAAAUGCGUAGAUAUCUGGAGGAACACCGGUGGCGAAGGCGGCAUCCUGGACCAAUUCUGACGCUGAGGAGCGAAAGCCAGGGGAGCAAACGGG